RNAcentral lists this small RNA (2375 nucleotides) under Pan troglodytes (chimpanzee). RNAcentral's name for it is "retained intron". The record is from RNAcentral. Lineage: Eukaryota; Metazoa; Chordata; Mammalia; Primates; Hominidae.
AUUUUCAUCCCUGCUCAGUCUGCUCAGGGGCUUGGGAGCCGCCGGGCUCAGCAUAUUGUGCUGUGCUGCACAGUCCUGCUGCCCGCUUGGGGGUGGACCCAGAGCCCUGCACCCCCUGAGCUGCCCCCUCUGGUUGCCUUGUAGAGAUCCAGGUGAUGAUGGGCAGCCUGGUGUACCUGCGGCUGGGCUUGGAGAAGUCACCCUACUGCCACCUGCUGGACAGCAGCCACUGGGCAGAGAUCUGUGAGACCUUUACCCGGGACGCCUGUUCCCUGCUGGGGCUUUCUGUGGAGUCCCCCCUUAGCGUCAGGUACAACCCAGCCCUGUGAGGGCAGCACAGGUGGGAGGGUAGAGAGGGAAUCAUCAUUUGCCAAGGCCCUGCCAUGUGCCAGGAACAGUGCUCGGUGCUUUCAGAGACCGAAACUGGCUUUCUUAGUCAUUCUUCAGGAGAGGAAUUACCUGUUUUUACAGUUAAACUGAGACUAGGAAGAGUUAUGGCCCGAGGUCACCAUGAGGUCAGUGGCAUGGUCAAGGUUCCCAUUUUGUAAGGUCUCCUGAAUGAGGUCCCUGCCUCUCUUGCACCUCACCCUGGAUCAUUGCAAGACCUUCCCAGCUAACCCACGCCCCUCUGCAGCCCGCCUUCCUCAUGACCUAAUGUCUUAAACACCACUUGCCUUCAGGGGAGAUGUGAGUGGUUGAGUAAUAUGUAUUCAGCACUGCUGCUGACACCUCCCUCAGAGCUCCCAGCAACCCUGGGAGGGAGAGCCACUGUUAUCCUCCUUCUACAGAUGAGGAAAUGGAGGCCCAAGAUGUGCACGCACUUGCCCAAGGCCUCGCAGGGAAUAAUGGGCACUUGAACCUGACCCCAGAGCCACACGCUCCGCCACAGUGGACAGCUGUCACUGUGUAUUUAGACUGUUGAUGGCACCUCAAUAUAGUGGACGGAUUCUACGCUCAUCUAAUUUGUUACCAUGGACUCAGUUUAUAGAACGUCAUUUCCCAGCAAGAACAACAUCAGCACCUUAGGAUGAUUCUGUUGCGCAGGACUCCCCUGUGCACUGUGGGGUAUUCAGCAUCUGAGGUUCCAGCCAGUAGGCUCCCUUCCCCAUGCAACUGUCACGAGAAGGGAACCCCAACCUCCAUUUGUUAGGCGGCCUAGUUGAUAGCCACCAUUAUAAAGAUGUGUUAUGACUACACAGCAGGGUACGUCCUACAGGCAGGCUGGGGCCCUUUGGAACUGCUCACUGUUCCCUAGUCACACCAAGGACUUUUCAGUCAUUAGGAUGAGCAGAUAUCUGCCCCUAGAGCUAUAGGAAGUCUUCCCUGUAGGUUCUCAAAUUUUGGGGUGCAUUAGAAUGAGUCUCUAGAGUCAGACAUACAUAAGUACAUAUGUGGCACCUUAUGAACAAUGUGAGGGAUCUUUGAGGACCGAUUUGACUGUGCACCAUUUUAGAGCCCUGUCUCAAGGUCCAUGCUGAAGCAUGGCGCGCUGGCCCUUUUUGCCUGUCUGCUGUGAUCUGAGCCACUCUAGCCCCUGUUCCUUGUCUGCAGCUUUGCCUCUGGCUGUGUGGCGCUGCCCGUGUUGAUGAACAUCAAGGCUGUGAUUGAGCAGAGGCAGUGCACUGGGGUCUGGAAUCACAAGGACGAGUUACCGAUUGAGAUUGAACUAGGCAUGAAGUGCUGGUACCACUCCGUGUUCGCUUGCCCCAUCCUCCGCCAGCAGACGUCAGAUUCCAACCCUCCCAUCAAGCUCAUCUGCGGCCAUGUUAUCUCCCGAGAUGCACUCAAUAAGCUCAUUAAUGGAGGAAAGCUGAAGUGUCCCUACUGUCCCAUGGAGCAGAACCCGGCAGAUGGGAAACGCAUCAUAUUCUGAUUCCUACCUGGAAGGAAUUUUGUUGAAAGGGGUUUUCACCUGUGAGCCUUGGUCUGUCCCGGUAGGGUGGUCAACUUCAGUGGACUGUGGUUGGUUUCAGAGCGCCUGGCUGAGGAGUUCCACUGAGGGGAGCGCUGGAGCAGCCCUUUGGCAGAGGCUGAGGAGGGAGAUGGACCAGCCCACGCCUGGCACCUGGCUCCAUGGCAUAAGGAAAGGGAGAUGCUGGCCUCUGUGCUCCUGCUGUCUCUUCCUGUUUCUGUUUGACUUAGUAGCAACCGACAGAGUGGCAAGGGAUUUGGUCUUCAGCAGUGGACAUCCUUCCACCCCUGCCCUCAGCCAAGUCUCUUGCUGCCAUGCCAAUGCUAUGUCCACCCUUGCCCCUCGGCCCAAGGGUGUCCAGCGGUGGCCCACCUCUUCCUCCCACUACAGCCUCAACAGUAUGUACCAUCUCCCACUGUAAAUAGUCCCAGUUAGAACAGAAUGCCGUUGUUUUAUAACUUUG